UACGUAGGGUGCGAGCGUUGUCCGGAAUUACUGGGCGUAAAGAGCUCGUAGGUGGUUUGUCGCGUUGUCCGUGAAAACUCACAGCUUAACUGUGGGCGUGCGGGCGAUACGGGCAGACUGGAGUACUGCAGGGGAGACUGGAAUUCCUGGUGUAGCGGUGAAAUGCGCAGAUAUCAGGAGGAACACCGGUGGCGAAGGCGGGUCUCUGGGCCGACACUGACGCUGAGGCGCGAAAGCUAGGGGAGCAAACGGG
This 253-nucleotide ribosomal RNA is filed under the name uncultured bacterium. RNAcentral describes it as "partial 16S ribosomal RNA". It matches the Rfam family "Bacterial small subunit ribosomal RNA", at positions 524 to 776 of the family's 1533-position model. The record is from RNAcentral.